AUUGAACGCUGGCGGAAUGCUUUACACAUGCAAGUCGAACGGUAGAGGGGGCAACCCCUCGAGAGUGGCGAACGGGUGAGUAAUAUAUCGGAACGUACCCAGUCGUGGGGGAUAACGUAGCGAAAGUUACGCUAAUACCGCAUACGAUCUAAGGAUGAAAGCGGGGGAUCGCAAGACCUCGCGCGAUUGGAGCGGCCGAUAUCAGAUUAGGUAGUUGGUGGGGUAAAGGCUCACCAAGCCAACGAUCUGUAGCUGGUCUGAGAGGACGACCAGCCACACUGGAACUGAGACACGGUCCAGACUCCUACGGGAGGCAGCAGUGGGGAAUUUUGGACAAUGGACGCAAGUCUGAUCCAGCCAUUCCGCGUGCAGGAUGAAGGCCCUCGGGUUGUAAACUGCUUUGUACGGAACGAAAAGGUCUCUCUUAAUACGGGGGACUCAUGACGGUACCGUAAGAAUAAGCACCGGCUAACUACGUGCCAGCCGCCGCGGUAA
Molecule: ribosomal RNA, 495 nt
Filed under: uncultured bacterium
Lineage: Bacteria
Description: partial 16S ribosomal RNA
Rfam family: Bacterial small subunit ribosomal RNA
Source: RNAcentral